GCUGGGCGUGGUGGCGCGUGCCUGUAAUCCCAGCUACUUAGGAGGCUGAGGCAGGAGAAUCGCCUGAACCCAGGAGGCGGAGGUUGUGGUGAGCCGAGAUCGUGCCAUUGCACUCCAGCCUGGGCAACAAGAGUGAAACUCCAUCUCAAAAAAAAAAAAAAGAUGGAGUCUCUCUCUGUCACCCAAGCUAGAGUGCAGUGGCACAAUCUCAGCUCACUGCAACCUCUGCCUCUGGGGUUCAAGCGAUUCCCCUGCCUCA
This 259-nucleotide small RNA is filed under the name Saimiri boliviensis boliviensis (Bolivian squirrel monkey). Its description in RNAcentral is "Metazoan signal recognition particle RNA (ENSSBOG00000000943.1)". Lineage: Eukaryota; Metazoa; Chordata; Mammalia; Primates; Cebidae. The record is from RNAcentral.